Molecule: transfer RNA, 72 nt
Filed under: Eubacteriales bacterium
Lineage: Bacteria; Bacillati; Bacillota; Clostridia; Eubacteriales
Description: tRNA-Arg
Rfam family: tRNA
About the family: Transfer RNA (tRNA) molecules are approximately 80 nucleotides in length. Their secondary structure includes four short double-helical elements and three loops (D, anti-codon, and T loops).
Source: RNAcentral
GUUCCCAUAGUAUAAUGGAUAGAACGAUGGCCUCCGGAGCCGUAGAUAGCGGUUCGAUUCCGCUUGGGAACG